AUGAUAGUAGCACAAAGUUUUAAUGAGCUUAGAAGCGAUUCACAUCAUGGAUAAUCCUAUAGAAUUCAAUGGUGUUGUUGUUGCCUUUACAACAAUACAUUUUCUCUGUUGCAAGUAAUUAAAAAUAAAUUAGUUCUAUUUAUCAAAAACAAAAAUCAAUUUCUCCUAAGACUUAGUUGGAGGAGUUAUGUUAGUCUGGUAAAGGAUAUUCUUCAGCUAGGGGAGGGAUUCUAGGGCGUAUAUUUCUAUGUAAAAAGAAAACUAGCUGUAACUGUCCACAUAUAAUGGUCUUAACUCACUAAAGAAACAAAGGAGAUAAACAUAUCAGUCCCAUGUCUCCUGUCUUUAGAGGAAAAUUGAGGAUGGAGUUAGAUAUAUUAUGACAAACUUUUCUCUCUUAUGAGCUUCUGUUGGGUUCUAGGAAGUUACUGUCAUUAGAGUUUUAUUCCUUUUUAUAGGUCAAAUAAAUUUCUACUCUUCCAAUUUCCAUAUUGACGUCCAAAUGGUCUUUACAUCAUUACCCCUCAAACAGGAAGUUAUGGUAAGACUUCUUGGAGAAUCAUUUGAGAAGGUCAUCUUCCAUGCCUUCUUAUCACCGUAACUCUGUAAAGCUUAUAUACCUGUGAGGAAAUCUUUCCACAUUGUCAAUUUUCAGUGUUAUAUACUUGUCUAAUUUUUUUUUUGGUUGCCAGUCUCAUUCCUUAUUAUGAAUCUCUGCAACUACGGCUUCCUUUGCAGUUGUGAUUCAAAAGAGACGAGAAAAUUCAGCUGUUAGAGCGGUAUGACGUCCUUUGCAGUUGUGAUUCGAAAGAGACGAGAAAAUUCAGCUGUUAGAGCGGUAUGACCAAGCCAACAUUGAAUACAGUUCCUAAAAGAGAUUCCUACGAACCUCAUGAAAUCCUUUCUCUUCAUAAUCUUUUCCGUUAAGCUUGUUUUCUAAGAGGGAGUUGCCACUUUCCAUAACCAUCCAAAAUAUGUGGUUAUACUUUUUUUCUUGAGAAAGGUAACAAUGUUAUAUAUCAUUAGCACAAAGACAGUGCUAAGUCCCAUUUUUACAAAAAGAGCAAAAGUGUUCCCUUAGUUCUUACAAGUUACAGCGAAUCUAUGAUGUGUAACAAUUAAUUUAUUUCUAGAAAUUCAUAUACUUUCCGUUGAUCAGUUCAUUCCAUCGAGCAUUCUCUUAUUUUUAUAGCUUUCCAUAACCAUACCAAGAGGGCUCAGUUGAACAUUUUUAUUCCCCAAAUGCUAAAACUAUGAUUCCUACCGAGGCUCUUCCGAUCCUACAGGUGCUCUAUCUCUCCCAACUAACCAGGUGAAAUUUCCUAUCUCAUUCAUUUGCCCUCAAAAGGUUUUCAAGUUUUUUAGCCACCAACGCUUGAUAAU
This 1383-nucleotide long non-coding RNA is filed under the name Nicotiana benthamiana. RNAcentral describes it as "long non-coding RNA (NBEN_LNC021290)". The record is from RNAcentral. Lineage: Eukaryota; Viridiplantae; Streptophyta; Magnoliopsida; Solanales; Solanaceae.